GAUGAACGCUGGCGGCGUGCCUAAUACAUGCAAGUCGAGCGAACGGACGAGAAGCUUGCUUCUCUGAUGUUAGCGGCGGACGGGUGAGUAACACGUGGAUAACCUACCUAUAAGACUGGGAUAACUUCGGGAAACCGGAGCUAAUACCGGAUAAUAUUUUGAACCGCAUGGUUCAAAAGUGAAAGACGGUCUUGCUGUCACUUAUAGAUGGAUCCGCGCUGCAUUAGCUAGUUGGUAAGGUAACGGCUUACCAAGGCAACGAUGCAUAGCCGACCUGAGAGGGUGAUCGGCCACACUGGAACUGAGACACGGUCCAGACUCCUACGGGAGGCAGCAGUAGGGAAUCUUCCGCAAUGGGCGAAAGCCUGACGGAGCAACGCCGCGUGAGUGAUGAAGGUCUUCGGAUCGUAAAACGCUGUUAUUAGGGAAGAACAUAUGUGUAAGUAACUGUGCACAUCUUGACGGUACCUAAGCAGAAAGCCACGGCUAACUACGU
RNAcentral lists this ribosomal RNA (496 nucleotides) under uncultured bacterium. Its description in RNAcentral is "partial 16S ribosomal RNA". It matches the Rfam family "Bacterial small subunit ribosomal RNA", at positions 28 to 506 of the family's 1533-position model. The record is from RNAcentral.